Molecule: long non-coding RNA, 3538 nt
Organism: Orcinus orca (killer whale)
Lineage: Eukaryota; Metazoa; Chordata; Mammalia; Artiodactyla; Delphinidae
Exons: 2
Source: RefSeq, a predicted model, not a curated record
UUGCGGAGCACAGGCUCCAGACGUGCAGGCUUAGCGGCCAUGGCUCACAGGCCCAGCCGCUCCGCGGCAUGUGGGAUCCUCCCGGACCGGGGCACGAACCCGUGUCCCCUGCAUCGGCAGGCGGACUCUCAACCACUGCGCCACCAGGGAAGCCCUUAAGAUGUAAGUUUUUAAUGGCAUUUGCUUUUAAUGGAGACCACUUCCAUCAAAAGUAAAGAUCUGAUUGGGGUUUUAGACUUCUGCAUCAGUCUUUAUAAGGUUAGGGGGGCAAUGUUUUUGUAGUAUCUUUAUUCAAACUCGCAGAUUUUCAGAGAGUUUAUUUAACAUAGGGCAAAUUUGAGCAAUUUUGAAGCCACUAAAUCACUACUUGUACUUCCAUAGGGUUAAAAAAAGUAUUUUGGAGGUCUUCAUAUAUCGCUAAAGUUUUCUAUUAACUUUCAAGAAAGUUUACCCGUGAUGGUUUCAAAACACAUUUCAAAUAACAUACAUCCCAACGUGACUUUCACAUUCGACCAUCUUCCAAUCUCUGUUUACAAAUCACUUACGAGCUAUUUCUGCAUUAAAGAAAUAUUCGUCUUAACAGAACAGACUACUUGGCUGAUGUGCCAGUACCAGUAUAGGAAAAUCUGUGUUUUGUUUGUUUGUUUUGUUUGUUUUUUCAGGAACCCAUUUAUUAGGUGUGUGCUUCUAAUUCAUUUUUUGUCCCAUUGAAGAGUGGAGGAAAUUGAAGGUUUGUUCUCAAAUCUGCUUUGGUUCUGAAUCUUGGGCAAUCUUAAUAUAUAUUCAGGGGUGUACGUGAGGUUCUGAGUAGGGAGCAGGUCAUCUUCUUUUAAGCCUGUAAACAUGAGUAGAAGGGGGGAGUGACGGGGAGUGAUGGUUGUGGUGAUCAAGAGUGACCUUUCCUUCUUAGAAAACAUCAGAUUACUUAGAGGCAUCAGACUUUGCAUGGUUCAACCUACAGCUUAAAAUGAAAUACAGAUCUCCACCAAUGUAGACAUUUUUUUUCUUUUUUUAACUCUUCCCUCCCCACUUCUUUUUUUUUUUUUGACAGAGCAUCUCUGUUGUCCACAUGAAAGGAAAAAAGAAAUCGAAGAUGCUAUUUAUUUUACAGAUUAAGAAAUCUUCCUGAAUAGUCAUAAGAGAGCUCUUCUUCUGGCACAAUGUCUUUGGCUGCAAAGAGUGCCAACUUUGGUACCAUCGAGUUGAUUCGGACAGGAAUCAUCAAUAAGUUUGGCUCACAAGAAUGGUUAAGGAAUCUUCCAAUAUUUCCUAUAGAGGUAGGAUCAAUGAACGUUUCCAUUACCUGCCCAUUAUAAACAUGCUCCCUGACGGCUAUAAUGUAAUUCGAAUCGUGUAUUGUUUGUAACUGAAUUCUUCUCUGUACUUCUGGGAAUCCUAAAACCUCGCCAGCAUAUUCACAGACAAACCGUCCUUUUGGUAUAAAGUCCAAGGUACGAAGUCCCCAGCCUUUGCGAUCUGUCUUGAACACCUGGAGGUGGAACUGCAGACCCCGCUGGACCACUCUGUUCCUGCAGUGGUCGCUGCACUGACACAGGACAUUGCAUUCGAAAACUGGCUCAGCGCACUUUGCUUCUGAUCCUAUGUGUCUGAGGCAUAAAUUAUCAUCAUAGUUCUUCUCACGACGGAGACAGGAGCAAGUUCCAGGGAGGCAGGGAGUUUUGAGACAAACACAUCCGGGAAAGGUUAUCAGAGUGGGAUCAGUGUCUCCUCCAGGCCCGGCUACAUGAUCAGGAGUAUACUGCAAAAAACAGAAAUACUGUUAAGUCAGCACGGCAGGUCAUAUAUCUCAUCUGUAUUUCAAGCAGCUUUUGGCUGAGACAGUUUCUAAUUCCAACAAACAGAAUGAAACAAAAAUGACAAAAUGCAAUAUAUUACAAUAUUGCCUGAAAACAUCUCUCUCCAAUUUAAAAACCAGGGUUAAUUUUUAGAUUUAAAAUUUGGUGGUUUCCUUUUAAGCAGUGGAAAAAUUUAUGUAUUUUUCUCUUAUCAGAUAUUGAAAAAUUUGUAAUCCAUUUUGUUUCCCUGUUAGCUUUAGGUGUCAGGAAAAUCAGUGCCGAAUUUAGGUUUUGAAUGCAGUUAUGUGUUUUCUCCUUGGCUUUUAUCUUUCACAUUUAUCUGAUAAUACAAAUGCAUAUAUGUAUUUUUAUUGUGAGUUACCUCAGAUCCUUUUUGGGGAUAAGAAAGUCAUAAAUGAUAAAUCAAUGAAAAAUGGCCUUUGGGAGAGAGUCUUCCAUUGAUUUUUUAAAAGAAUUUUUAAAUUUGAAGAUUAUCUGAAUUCUUAUAUAUUCUCUCAUGUUUUUAAAAAAUGCUAUUACCUUAUAGUUCUAUUUGAGUCUUCACAAAGUUAAAAGCAGAAAUUUGGCAAAAAACUUGCAGAGAUAAUUCCAAAAAUUGUCACAUAAUAUUAAUAGAUAUUGAAAUUUAUUGUAGAUAUAUUAUGUACAUGUAAAGAAAUCCUGUUCUUAUUAAGUGUGAAAGGGAGAAUACAAAAAACUUUCUGUCUUUUACAUGUACCUGUAUUUUCAAAAUGUUACAUUUAUAAAAUGUUAUGAUAAAGAAGUCUUAAGUCUAAAGUGUCUCUGUGAAACCUGACCUCUGGUUAUUUCCUCACUGGCAGAAUGAAGCAUAUUCUCAAACCCUGAAGAUUACAGUAUCUCUCAUGAGCCCAGCAUAUUUCUUCAUGUAUAGAACAAUUCAUUUAUUUAUACUUGUUUUGUUCCAGAAAGGAUUUAAUGAAGCUUACAAAGAGGGAAGAUAAAUGAACAAUAGGUAAGGAAAGUAAGGUGAAGGGAAAAAUAAGUCGAGAGAGCUUAGACACACUAAGUGUGCAGCAGAAGUAGACUGGACAUUUGGCUCUGCCCAAGAACAGCCACUGCAAAGAGGGAAAUAUGAUUAGAUGUAUGGCUUGUACUGUCUGUAAGGAAUAAUCUCACUGUUCAGAAGCAUUGACUGUUUCUAGUAGGGAAAUGGGAGAGAAAUUUGACAAAUGAGUCUGUCUAAACCAUUCUUUUCCAGGACGCAGUUUCAUGGGCUGUUUUUCAUUUCAUUCAUUCCGACCCUCAAUAAAGGCUGUUGGCAUCCUGCCACAUGAAGUCAGUAAGAGCAGUUCUGCAAGAGACCAGUCGACAGAAUUUAGCAUAUCCAGAGGAACGUCAAUUAUUAGCCUUUCAGUCAAUUAUCCAUUAACAUUGUGUCAAUACUUUUAGAAGAAGUAUUGAGCAGCAUGUAGUUAUACUCCCUGUGGAGGCCUUGGUGGAGCUAUGCAGUUAGGUGCAAAAUCCUAUACUUUAAAAAACCCUGAGCUAGCGAGGAAGGAUUGACAUCCUUCUGUGAAAGGGUGGUGAGUGGGCGUACCUGUGGGGGAGGGGGAGAAGGCCAAUGCUGCUUAAAAAGUGAUUUGGGGGUGGAGAGUGGAAAUAGCUUCUCCUGUUUGUGUCGGUUCUUACAACUUUAGCUUAGCAGAGAUGUCAUAAAAGGAUGAAGGAUGGCUUAGAAAAAGAUGCCCCAUCAGUCAAAU